GAUGAACGCUAGCGACAGGCUUAACACAUGCAAGUCGAGGGGCAGCGGGGGCGAAGCUUGCUUCGCCUGCCGGCGACCGGCGCACGGGUGAGUAACACGUAUGCGACCUGCCCCCCGCAGGGGGAUAACCGGGAGAAAUCCCGACUAAUACCGCGUAACGCCGCGGGGCUGCAUGGCCCCGCGGCCAAAGGAAGCGAUUCCGGCGGGGGAUGGGCAUGCGGCGCAUUAGCUAGUCGGCGGGGUAACGGCCCACCGAGGCGACGAUGCGUAGGGGUUCUGAGAGGAAGGCCCCCCACACUGGUACUGAGACACGGACCAG
This 319-nucleotide ribosomal RNA is filed under the name uncultured bacterium. RNAcentral describes it as "partial 16S ribosomal RNA". It matches the Rfam family "Bacterial small subunit ribosomal RNA", at positions 28 to 334 of the family's 1533-position model. The record is from RNAcentral.